UCUGUUUGGUUGGGCGUUUCACCUCUUUGAGUUUAUUCCCGUUGAGCGGAGAUGGGAAGUGGAUGAAGCGAACUUGAGGCAGAUAGUUUCGAGUUUUAAGGAUCCUCGAGAUGCUUUGUGGCUUGCUCUUUUCCCUGAAGGCACAGAUUACACGUAAGUUACCGCGUAUCAUUCUUGUUUAAAAAACCCUUUUGGUUUAAAGCAUUUUCACCAUGCAGAGAGGCUAAAUGCGAAAGGAGCAAGAAGUUUGCAGCUGAACAUGGCUUACCAGUACUGAGCAACGUCCUGCUUCCAAGGACUAAAGGUUUCGUCUCUUGCUUGCAAGAACUGAGUUCCUCACUUGAUGCAGUUUAUGACGUCACCAUCGGUUAUAAAACCCGUUGUCCGUCUUUCUUAGACAAUGUCUACGGUAUUGAACCAUCAGAAGUUCACAUCCGAAUCCGUCGAAUCGACCAAAGCCAAAUCCCAAAUCAAGAAAAGGAGAUCAAUGAUUGGUUAAUGAACGCGUUCCAGCUCAAAGACCAGCUUCUCAGUGACUUCUACUCCAGUGGCCAUUUCCCUAACGAAGGAACAGAAAAAGAGUUCAACACACUGAAGCACCUCAUAAACUGCUUGGCAGUGAUUGUCUUCACGGUCAUCUGCGCGUAUCUCACCUUCUUUUCGUCGAUGGUCUGGUUCAAGAUCUAUGUCUCUUUGGUCUGUGCCUACUUGGCCUCCGCUACACAUUUCAAUCUUCGUUCUGUUCCACUUGUUGAGACUGCAAAAAAGGCCUUCAAAUGAUUAAACAAAUAAACUUUCAUUGUUUUCCAUUUUACAUGAUGGAGUAAUGUUUUUUUCUUUUACUGUUAGAUUUUGAGGUUAAGACUCAAUCCAAUUUCUACUUAUGAAAUGUGAGCACAAGCUGCAAGCAAAGUGUUAUACUUCAAUCAAAUCUCCUUCGGAAAAUGCACUUGUAACUUCACAAUGGCCGAGAUCACAGCGUUCCACGAGUAAACGUUUCUCUCAGGCAUUUCGUCG
RNAcentral lists this long non-coding RNA (1017 nucleotides) under Brassica rapa (field mustard). Its description in RNAcentral is "long non-coding RNA (BRAP_LNC000636)". Lineage: Eukaryota; Viridiplantae; Streptophyta; Magnoliopsida; Brassicales; Brassicaceae. The record is from RNAcentral.